UGCCGAUGAUGAGAAGUCCAAAUGGGUCGUUUCUCGAAACAUUCGCAGUACCCGUCCCGAGCGCUUUCGCCUUGCCGGGCUUGAGAGCGGAUGCGGCUCCUUCCUUGGAUGUCUGAGGCA
Klebsormidium nitens is the source of this 120-nucleotide non-coding RNA. NCBI's taxonomy places the organism in Eukaryota, Viridiplantae, Streptophyta, Klebsormidiophyceae, Klebsormidiales, Klebsormidiaceae. The record is from Rfam.